This is a long non-coding RNA of Mus musculus (house mouse), 948 nucleotides long. RefSeq annotates it as predicted gene, 41765. NCBI's taxonomy places the organism in Eukaryota, Metazoa, Chordata, Mammalia, Rodentia, Muridae. The record is from RefSeq and is a predicted model, not a curated record. The transcript is spliced from 4 exons.
AGAAGUCUCUUUGAUGGAGGGUAAAGACUACACUUAUCUGUGGAUUCAGGGGCAAAAGUAUAAAACGUAGUCAGAUUCUUCUUUAGACAGCAGCUCCUGUGAUUUGCCUCCUAGCUUGAACAACCCAUGUCCUUCCCACGUACAAACUGGGCUCACCCCUCCUCAGACCCCAGAAAUCUCUACUUCAAGGAAACAUCAAUUCCGUUUCUAGGACUCCAUGAUGUAGUACAAAAGCCAGGCAAGAUAUACCCAAUGGUGUAACAGUGAUACUUUUAUCAUGAGCCUCACCAACCAGCUGUCUAAUUAGACUCAAGGUCUGCUCAGUAAGAAGGAAUUUGUGUGAAGAUUUACCCAACUACUAUGGCUGGAUAAGUCAUGGACCCUAGCUGAGAACAUACCGCUGUCAUUUUCCUAAACUGGAUGCCGGCUGUUACUACAUUUACAGAAGCUGCCAUUUGUGAGACACGUGAGAAUACUAGAAAAUCUCAGGAAAGGAAGAAUAGACAGCUGGUGAUGUGAAAUGGAUGGCUGGUUGGUGGCGAAGAGAUGAGGAAAUAUGGGGGGGGGGGACAUUCAGAUGUCAAAAGACGUGCUGCCUUUCCUCAGUUGAUUAAGUUACAUACAAAAAAGUAAAGAAGACCUCACUUAGCAGACCUGGUUGAAUAGAGUAUCCCAGAAAAAGAAAGAAGUUAUACAAGCACACUUUGAGGUCUACUAAGAAGCACUGUUUUAAAGAGCAGAUAAAGAGGAGGGGCCAUGCUCCUUCCCUUCCCUUCCAGAACAAUCUUUGGCCUUAGUAGCUUAGUGAUUAGCCUUAAGUAGCUUCGAUGCCAAUGAAUAGGGAGAGCCCACAGAUGGAGAAGCACUAGUCCACCUCCAAUCUCAACCAGCUCCUAACCAUGCUCUCUCUCUCUCUCUCUGUCUCUCUGUCUCUCUGUCUCUCUCUCU